AGUGAACGCUGGCGGUAGGCCUAACACAUGCAAGUCGAACGGCAGCACAGUAAGAGCUUGCUCUUACGGGUGGCGAGUGGCGGACGGGUGAGGAAUACAUCGGAAUCUACUUUUUCGUGGGGGAUAACGUAGGGAAACUUACGCUAAUACCGCAUACGAUCUACGGGUGAAAGCAGGGGAUCUUCGGACCUUGCGCGAUUGAAUGAGCCGAUGUCGGAUUAGCUAGUUGGCGGGGUAAAGGCCCACCAAGGCGACGAUCCGUAGCUGGUCUGAGAGGAUGAUCGGCCACACUGGAACUGAGACACGGUCCAGACUCCUACGGGAGGCAGCAGUGGGGAAUAUUGGACAAUGGGCGCAAGCCUGAUCCAGCCAUACCGCGUGGGUGAAGAAGGCCUUCGGGUUGUAAAGCCCUUUUGUUGGGAAAGAAAAGCAGCAGGUUAAUACCCCGCUGUUCUGACGGUACCCAAAGAAUAAGCACCGGCUAACUUCGUG
RNAcentral lists this ribosomal RNA (492 nucleotides) under uncultured bacterium. RNAcentral describes it as "partial 16S ribosomal RNA". It matches the Rfam family "Bacterial small subunit ribosomal RNA", at positions 29 to 507 of the family's 1533-position model. The record is from RNAcentral.